AGUGAACGCUGGCGGUAGGCCUAACACAUGCAAGUCGAACGGCAGCACAGUAAGAGCUUGCUCUUACGGGUGGCGAGUGGCGGACGGGUGAGGAAUACAUCGGAAUCUACUUUUUCGUGGGGGAUAACGUAGGGAAACUUACGCUAAUACCGCAUACGACCUACGGGUGAAAGCAGGGGAUCUUCGGACCUUGCGCGAUUGAAUGAGCCGAUGUCGGAUUAGCUAGUUGGCGGGUUAAAGGCCCACCAAGGCGACGAUCCGUAGCUGGUCUGAGAGGAUGGUAGGCCACACUGGAACUGAGACACGGUCCAGACUCCUACGGGAGGCAGCAGUGGGGAAUAUUGGACAAUGGGCGCAAGCCUGAUCCAGCCAUACCGCGUGGGUGAAGAAGGCCUUCGGGUUGUAAAGCCCUUUUGUUGGGAAAGAAAAGCAGCAGGUUAAUACCCCGCUGUUCUGACGGUACCCAAAGAAUAAGCACCGGCUAACUUCGUG
This 492-nucleotide ribosomal RNA is filed under the name uncultured bacterium. RNAcentral's name for it is "partial 16S ribosomal RNA". It matches the Rfam family "Bacterial small subunit ribosomal RNA", at positions 29 to 507 of the family's 1533-position model. The record is from RNAcentral.